GAGAGUGAGCAGGAACUUAGACCAAAAGGUAAUGGAGCUGAUCAUGGAGGACUUGUAAAUCAUUAGCUCCUAAAACCCUUGGAAUCUUCUAAGUGAUGAGAGGGACAAAGGAGUCUUUUGUUUCAGUCCCAUCCCUCCGGCCUCUGGGAAGGUCACGGCCACAGCACGGCUGAAGAGUGAUGUAUGUCUGCACCGGGGAUCCAAACCCAUGAACCCCGGCCACUGAAGCAGAGCAUGCUGAACUUAACAACUAGGCAAUGCAACAGGCUCCCCAAUGUUUUUUGAUCAUGGACUCUGUAUCACUUUAUGCCACU
This 314-nucleotide long non-coding RNA is filed under the name Equus asinus (donkey). Its description in RNAcentral is "lncRNA (ENSEASG00005026820.1)". Lineage: Eukaryota; Metazoa; Chordata; Mammalia; Perissodactyla; Equidae. The record is from RNAcentral.